GUGUCAGCAGCCGCGGUAAUACGAAAGGGGCUAGCGUUGUUCGGAAUUAUUGGGCGUAAAGAGCUCGUAGGCGGUCUGUCGCGUCUGCUGUGAAAACGCGGGGCUCAACCCCGCGCCUGCAGUGGGUACGGGCAGACUAGAGUGCAGUAGGGGAGACUGGAAUUCCUGGUGUAGCGGUGGAAUGCGCAGAUAUCAGGAGGGACACCGGUGGCGAAGGCGGGUCUCUGGGCUGUAACUGACGAUGAGGAGCGAAAGCGUGGGUAGCGAACAGGAUUAGAUACCCUGGUAGUCCACGCCGUAAACGUUGGGCUCUAGGUGUGGGGCUCAUUCCACGAGCUCCGUGCCGCAGCUAACGCAUUAAGCGCCCCGCCUGGGGAGUACGGCCGCAAGGCUAAAACUUAAAGGAAUUGGCGGGG
Molecule: ribosomal RNA, 416 nt
Filed under: uncultured prokaryote
Description: bacterial SSU rRNA
Rfam family: Bacterial small subunit ribosomal RNA
Source: RNAcentral